UGCACGGACUCAUUUGAAAAGCGUAAUGAGA
Molecule: non-coding RNA, 31 nt
Filed under: Rattus norvegicus (Norway rat)
Lineage: Eukaryota; Metazoa; Chordata; Mammalia; Rodentia; Muridae
Source: RNAcentral